GCAAGUCGAACGAGAGAGGAGGAGUUUGCUUCUUCGAUCGAGUGGCGAACGGGUGAGUAACGCGUGAGGAACCUGCCUCAAAGAGGGGGACAACAGUUGGAAACGACUGCUAAUACCGCAUAAGCCCACAGGUCGGCAUCGACCAGAGGGAAAAGGAGCAAUCCGCUUUGAGAUGGCCUCGCGUCCGAUUAGCUAGUUGGUGAGGUAACGGCCCACCAAGGCGACGAUCGGUAGCCGGACUGAGAGGUUGAACGGCCACAUUGGGACUGAGACACGGCCCAGACUCCUACGGGAGGCAGCAGUGGGGAAUAUUGCACAAUGGGGGAAACCCUGAUGCAGCGACGCCGCGUGGAGGAAGAAGGUCUUCGGAUUGUAAACUCCUGUUGUUGAGGAAGAUAAUGACGGUACUCAACAAGGAAGUGACGGCUAACUACGUGCCAGCAGCCGCGGUAAAACGUAGGUCACAAGCGUUGUCCGGAAUUACUGGGUGUAAAGGGAGCGCAGGCGGGAAGACAAGUUGGAAGUGAAAUCCAUGGGCUCAACCCAUGAACUGCUUUCAAAACUGUUUUUCUUGAGUAGUGCAGAGGUAGGCGGAAUUCCCGGUGUAGCGGUGGAAUGCGUAGAUAUCGGGAGGAACACCAGUGGCGAAGGCGGCCUACUGGGCACCAACUGACGCUGAGGCUCGAAAGUGUGGGUAGCAAACAGGAUUAGAUACCCUGGUAGUCCACACCGUAAACGAUGAUUACUAGGUGUUGGAGGAUUGACCCCUUCAGUGCCGCAGUUAACACAAUAAGUAAUCCACCUGGGGAGUACGACCGCAAGGU
RNAcentral lists this ribosomal RNA (824 nucleotides) under uncultured Bacillota bacterium. Its description in RNAcentral is "bacterial SSU rRNA". It matches the Rfam family "Bacterial small subunit ribosomal RNA", at positions 57 to 894 of the family's 1533-position model. The record is from RNAcentral. Lineage: Bacteria; Bacillati; Bacillota.